Molecule: non-coding RNA, 1402 nt
Organism: Leptonychotes weddellii (Weddell seal)
Lineage: Eukaryota; Metazoa; Chordata; Mammalia; Carnivora; Phocidae
Source: RefSeq, a predicted model, not a curated record
GCGGCCAAGGAAGAUGAAGAUCCAGUUUCGGACGUGAGACUCACUGGGUGAUCAUUUCAUUGAGAUCAACUUAAAUGAACAGGUGAAAAGUGCAAGAGGAAUGUGCUAUGACUGAGACAACGUGAAUAUUUUUUCUUGCCAGUCUACUUCUUCUGAUUUCACAAAAGAUAUAUCUCCAGCAGCCCCUAAAGCCUAGGAGUCCAGUAAAUCAUCAAACACACUCAUGACUGAAAAACUGCGGGAAGAAGCAGAAUGGGAAAGCAUAAAUGUGCUGUUGAUGAGGCAUGGCCUAAAACCUUUGUCUCUAGUCAAAAGAACUGAUCUUAAAGAUCUCAUCGUUUUUGACAAACAGUCAUCACAAAGGAUGAGGCAGAAUUUGGAAACAUUGGUGGAAGAAACAACACGUCAACAGAACAUGAUCCAGGAGCUCAUAGAAACUAAUCAGCAGCUUAAAAAUGAACUUCAGUUAGAACAAAGCCGAGCAGCCGAUCAUGAACAACGAGCUAAUGACUUGGAACAAAUUAUGGAGAGUGUGAAGUCCAAAAUUGAUGAAUUGGAGGAUGAAUCUCUAAAUAGGGUUUGCCAGCAACAGAAUAUAAUAAAAGAUCUUCAAAAGGAGCAUAAAGCUUUACAGGCAAAAUGUCAGCAUUAUAAGGAAAAACGAAUGGAGCAACAAGAGACUAUUGCUUCUUUGCAAAAGGAUAUCUAUAGAUUAACAAAGGAGGAAGAAGAGCGCAUUGUCACUCAAAACAGAGUGUUUGCUUAUCUCUGCAAAAGAGUUCCUCAUACCAUCUUGGAUAGACAGUUGCUUUGCCUAAUUGAUUACUAUGAAUGUAAAAUUAGAAAAUUGCAUAAACAAAGGCAAUAUAAAGAAAAUGAAAGUCCGUCAGAAGAAGAAAAAGACUACAGAAGUUUGGAUGCCUCACCAACUUAUAAAGGCCUUCUAAUGUCAUUACAGAAUCAACUCAAGGAAUCGAAAUCCAAGAUUGAUGCACUUUUAAGUGAAAAGCUGAAUCUCCAAAAAGAUUUGGAAACCAGGCCCACACAGCAUGAAUUAAGACUUUAUAAACAACAGGUGAAGAAACUGGAGAAAGCCCUUAAGAAAGACAUCAAAUUACAGGAUCUUAUCAGUCAAAAAAAGGCAGAGGACCCAGAGAAACCAGAUGAACCCAGCAAAGAUAACCAGCGGCAGGCCCUAAUUGACCAGAGAUACUUUCAGGUUCUGAAUAGCAUCAAUUCAAUUGUUCACAAUCCAAGAGCUCCAGUAAUAAUUUAUAAACAGAGCAAAGGAGGAGCCCAACAUUUUAAUAAAGAUCUUGUUCAGGAUUGUGGAUUUGAGCAUCUUAUUCCUAUAAUAGAAAUGUGGGCAGAUCAACUGACUUCCCUAAAGGUAAGGGGUUGA